CUUCAUAUAGAUAAAAAUGAAGUAAGUACUAUAUAAAAACAAAGAUGGAAUGUGCAAAAAUUAUAUUUGUAUAUCCAAAUUUUUAUCUUCAGCCAGAUGGCCAUAUGGUAAAUCAAUCAUUCUCACCUUCUUUGAGUUCAAUUCCAAAUCUUACACACCCAAUUUUUCAAGAGAAGUCCUGGCUUGACUUGUUGAACCUCAUCUUUCAAAGUCUUCUGGUUUACCCAUCAUUACAACAUACACCACACAACCUAAUGUUACAUGCUUCAAAAGUAUCCAUUAUGGAGCCCAUCAUCAUGAAUACUUUUGGAGAUGCCUGUGAAAGUGGCAUUUCCUAAAAUGUCUGCAAUGAAAUUGCCUGUGAUAAAUUAAGUUACUUAUUUGAGUUUGAUCUCGGACUUGGC
Molecule: long non-coding RNA, 404 nt
Filed under: Androctonus crassicauda
Lineage: Eukaryota; Metazoa; Arthropoda; Arachnida; Scorpiones; Buthidae
Source: RNAcentral